Ficedula albicollis (Collared flycatcher) is the source of this 394-nucleotide long non-coding RNA. RefSeq lists it as uncharacterized. The record is from RefSeq and is a predicted model, not a curated record. The transcript is spliced from 4 exons. NCBI's taxonomy places the organism in Eukaryota, Metazoa, Chordata, Aves, Passeriformes, Muscicapidae.
GGGAGUGCAGCGGCAUUCGCCUUCCCGCCUGCGCUAGUGCGAGGAGCCCGUGGGAGGCUCGUCAGCUCCGUGGCUCCACAGGUAUGGAAAAAAGAACACCUGCAGUAAACAGCUCUUCUUGUAUCGACACGGGAUGAUUCUGUCGGCAGGGAGCACUAUCUUGUGACUGUCCAGCAGAGAGCUGCUCAGGAGUCACAGCUUUUCUCAGGGGUCAGUAUUGCAGCCUGUAGGCAGAACCAGUGUGGUGCUGGGGACCGACCAGACUGCAGCUACAGUAGCUCUUCCUGCAAGAGCUUUGCAGGUUCACAGAGAUCACAGAAGCUAAGCUUGGAUAUGGCACUGGAAAUCAUCUCUUCGUUGCUGUCGCUUGGCUUGUGCGGCGUUUUAGGGUUUA